Molecule: long non-coding RNA, 30356 nt
Filed under: Nicotiana tabacum (common tobacco)
Lineage: Eukaryota; Viridiplantae; Streptophyta; Magnoliopsida; Solanales; Solanaceae
Description: long non-coding RNA (NTAB_LNC007679)
Source: RNAcentral
UGAUGAUCGCCUGGUUUUGGGUUGCUGAGGUUCAGGUUUUGCUACGUGGCACAAGAGAUCUAUAUGAGCAUUUUUUGUAUGAUGAAGGAGUAUGAGUGAUGUAUCAACCAUUUGAGCAGUAGAGUUGGGAUCGGAUAUGGAGAUUUCGUUAUUCUUGAGGUUUAAAGGCUGGAUGUUCUCACGGGCAGACUAUUCUUUAGUUACAGACUGUGAAGAUAUGCUAAGAAUUAGAUUGCUGAUGGCAUAUGUUAUGGAUAGGUUGCUAUAGACUUUUGGAAGGUUAUAUACCUGUUUGGGAAUAAUCGAAAUUGGUUCGAGGGAUAUUUGUGAGCCUAAUGAGAAUGUGUUGUUAUAGUACCUCUAUAACUUUAAUUAAUCAAACAAUUAACUUUCAUAAUUUAAUAGACGAGUAUUAUAAUUAUUAGGAUAAUUUAAAGCUAGCCUACAAUAAUUAAUUAAUAAUACAUUUGUAAUUAUAUGUUAUUGGGAUUAAAUUAGUUUAAUUAAUUUAAUUAUAAAAGGGGGUUAAAACUUAAAAUAGGCUACAAUUGCAAUUGAUUGAUUUAAUUAAAGUGGCCAUGAUUUAGAUUCCCAUUCCAGCCUAAUACCCAAUUAAUUGUCCCACAAAUACUGACCCAAUAACCCUGACCUGGUUCAACAGCCCACUACCCGUCCUACUUGGCAAUCCUCGCCACUCAUUCUCCACCAAUAAUAUGAUGCCACGUCACCUCCUUAAAUCGCUCACAUAAUAAACAAAUUCCAUCUGGACCGUUGAUCAAAUUCAUCAACGGUCCAAAAUUAUUUGCAAAUCCUCUUUAAUGUUAAAUCCCCCAACGCAUUUAUCUCUACCGUUGGAUCAAAAUGAUCCAUGGGCCCCUGAUUUAUCCCCACUAAAUAUUUUCUUCCCUUUUUUAUCUCCAAAAAUCUGGAGACGUUGAUCUAAAUGAUCCAGCGGCUCCCAUACUAUCUCCCAUUUUUAACUAAGCCCACCCCCAAACCCUAGAGACAUUUCGUCUCAUCCACGGCCUUUAUUUCCUCUUCUUAUCUCUUUUCUCUCAUUCUCAACCCACCCUGCCAUUACUAAACCUUGCACAAGUGCAAGGUCACUGAAGAUGAUCAAGGCUCAUCAUUUCCCUCACAUGUUAGCCGCAAAUCCUGUUGAGUAUUCCUUUUUCGCUCACCCAAUUUUGAAUUUCAAGCCCCGAAACCUUACACCAAAAUGUAAAAGAGUAAGAAUCUCAUUUUCUUCCUCUGCUUGUUCAAUCGUCACAUGCAGCCAUGGAUUCAUUAGAAUCUUGACCGCAUCAUGAUGGUCGGUGGUCCAGAGGUCAAACGCAAUGACCUCUAGAUAUUGGCUUUGCCCGGCGGUCCGAUUGGUUUCAACGGCUAGUUCACUCAUUGUUUUAGGGAGGUAAAAAUCUUUACCCCUUUUCCCUUCCUGAUUUCGUCACUUCUCAGUCAUCAGUGCUCAUCAUCAUCUCACAGAUUUUCAAAAUUUGAGUGAAAUCCUAAGUCUCAAUUGUAGCUAUAAAUAGAGGGUUUUAAUGCCCUCACCAAACACACGAACUACCAUAGGAAGCCUAGUAAAUGCUCUCUUCUUAAAUACUUAAAAAACUUUCUCUAAUCUCCUUUCUUUAUUUUCAAUUUUUGCUCGAGUGCAACUACUGAGAAUUGAUUGUGAACUUUAGUUCCUAAACGGCUAAGAAUGGUUACUUGGUUUGUUGCCUCGAAGAAUGUCAGUGGACCACUGAUCUCCCUUUAAUUAUUCAUUCAUUUCAUAUAUUAUCAUGUUGUCUCGUUUGUCUGGUGUUUUUUGUUAAUUGCUUGCCUAUGCUUCAUCGUGAUACUCAUCAGCCAAGCAUGAAACUUUCAAUUGUGUUCUGCUGCUUGUGUUAUUUUUCACUUAAUCAACUGAUACUCCCUGCUAAUAGUUAUGUUUAUCCCCUAUGUUGUUUAAAUCAGUAUUUUCUGGUGAUCAUUGAAUUUUGUUUCUCAUACCUAUAUUAUCAUGGUAUAUUGCUUAACUAAUUGAAUGAUUUUCAUGCUUAUAUUAUUGUGUUGUGUUGUCUAAUUGAGUGAUCCUUGUUGACAGUCAUCACCAUGUUAAUCUGCUUAACUAAUUGAAUGCCCCUCACUGAUAGUCAUGCCUAUGUUAUCAUGUUGAUCUGCUUAGUUAAUCAAAUAGGUCCAGUUGACAGUCAUGCUUAUUGUACCCCAUUGUUCUAUUCAGAAUGAUCUAUGUUACAAGACAUGUUUGUUUAUCAUGAUAACUUGAAUAUGACAAACUUGUCUACCUAGCUUGGCAUGUUUAUACUUUAGAGCUUAAUAUGUGACCCGGUUUGCUUGAAUAAACAAAAAAAUGCUGAUUUACAAUUCCAUGUCUACCUAGCUUGACAGUCAUGCUUAUUGUACCCCAUUGUUCUAUUCAGAAUGAUCUAUGUUACAAGACAUGUUUGUUUAUCAUGAUAACUUGAAUAUGACAAACUUGUCUACCUAGCUUGGCAUGUUUAUACUUUAGAGCUUAAUAUGUGACCCGGUUUGCUUGAAUAAACAAAAAAAUGCUGAUUUACAAUUCCAUGUCUAUUUUGCCUUGUUUAAUUGUAACAAGUAUUCUUGUCAUCUUAUGACCAUUUGAUAUUUGAGGACACUGUCCAUAAGAUCUUUAUGUAAUGUGGUUAAGCACUAUUGGUCUUGGUAGUUUGAAUAAGUAUUAUUCAUUCUCAAUGUGCACUAUCAUGUUUAGAUGCCAUGCCUACAUAAUUGACCCUCCUAUUCAUGCUUAAUGUCCCAAUUCUGAGUAAGGUGAUCAGCCUGGGUUGUUAAGCAUGUAGUGAGAUCUACACCUAUGUGUUUGUUUGUUGUUGAAGGAGUGUCCUAAGGAUGUUCUGGGCCUUAAUAACUUACUUUGAUAAUCUAAACUUGCUUCAAAGGAACCCUGUCUGAUUAAAUCCUUAUGAACCAUUAGACCUUUGAUGAGAUUCAGUAAAUAAGUGGGUGCAUUUGUCUUUUGUUCACUGUUGCCUUAAACCACCUGGAGAAGCAUUCAUGAAGUUGAAGUUGUUAUUAGCACAACAAGCUUGCUCUAUAGGGGCAUAUAGUUGAUCACUUGUGCUUUGUAACCCGUUAUUGAUUCUGUAUGUUUACCGCAGUGAUACCUAAGAAUAUUCUGUAGAUGUUGUGCCAUAUGGAAUGGUUCAGAAUCAACCUCUAAGCUCUUGAAACUGUUAAAAACUUUUGAGAACUUAAAUGUGGUAAUUUAUACUUGUAUCAUGUGUUCUGACUUCUGAUAAUAAUCACUGUUUAAAACUCAAGCAUGUGCUACUCCUUGACUAUUUAGGGCAUUAUACUCAAGUGAUUGCUUCAAUUCCUAGAAUGAUUGUCUGUUCUUAAAAUUAUUGGUGCCCCUAUAUGAUUGAGUUUUCUUGAAAUAUGUCACGCCUAGAUGGAUUAAGAUAUCAUAUGGAACCUUAUGUGCUUCUGCUAGUUUGUUUCAUAUUGAUUGCGUGAGACUGCCUGGGCACCUGUUUGGUUGAAUGCUAAGAUAGGAUUUCUUAUGUGCCUAAACCUCUAUAGAAGAAUGAGGUUCAAUGCUUAAGGGUGUUUGGUGUGGGCUUGACUUUACUGUUAAGGAACCCCUCCCUGACACAAGCAUUGCUCGGGGUCCAAGAGACCCUCGUGAAAUCUGGGUCCAUAGGGGAUCCUUAUAAGUGUGGUUCACUCUAAGCCCAUAAUCAUUGGCCUUAAUUAAUCUUCAGGGGAUUAUCAUAAUUAAAAUUUGGCAUAAUCUGUUCACUCUACAUCAUAUUUAUGCUCAUUUUUAUUCUUUUAUGAUUCUGCCUUUAUUUUUUCUAUGCACAAAUGCUAAUUGAUUCUUUCUCUUUUUCUUUGCAUGAAUACUGGACCUGCUGAGUUCAUUGAAAACCCAUACCCAAAUUCAAUGAACUGGGUUGCCUCCUUUGUCAUCCGUUGAAGCCUGCUGCAGUUUUGAGCUUAGUUCGGCCUGACUAAUUGUCAGUCCAGCACAAGAGUCCAGCCACUUUUCCUUAUAUGAAAUUAUUAUUAUUACUAUUGUCCCGUUCUUUGUAUAUGUCCUUGUGGAACUGACAUUGGUAUUGAAUAUUUGUUUUGUCUUGAUUAUUUAGGAAAGACUUUAGGUAGAUCAAACCUAAUAAGGUAAAAGGUAACUUUCACCGAAAAGAUUACUCGCUUUAAUAAUGUCAACAUUUUUUUGGAAUCUGACUGCUUUUAAACUAAUUGUUUAGAAACUAAUGUUUCUUCUUUUGCAUACCCUUUUUCAAAUGAGUUUCGUUUGUUAUUAGCAUUGAUAGAAUUUGAAUGAGUUUAAACUGAAACAAUCUUUUUGGAAAGAAUUUUCAAACGGAUAACUUAGGUGUCACGAUCCAAAAUUUACCUAGUCGUGAUGACACCUAACUCAAUCCGUCGGGUAAGUCAAUUAACAACUAUCUAAUUUAGAUGAGAUUUAUUAAGAAAAGAAAGGAUAAUAAAACUAUUUUUAUACAAGAAUUUUUAAGGACUGGUAGUACAAAUCAUGAGCUUCUAAGAUUAGAAGUUAUAAAGCUGGUAUGAAAUAAGUACAUGUACAUAAAUAGAUUUUUAUAAAUUUAAGGCUACCAUGAACAAGAGGCAGCUACUAACAGAACGCAGGUACGUCUUCAAAUUGAUCAUAGCAACAUCAACAUCUAAUAUUUGCACGCAAGGUGCAGAAGUGUAGUAUGAGUACAAUCGACCCCAUGUACUAAAUAAGUAACAAACCUAACUUUAGGUUGAAAGUAGUGACGAGCUGGAAUACAGGUCAAAGUCCAACACUGAUAGCCAACAACGGCUCAUAACAAUAUAAUAAAAGUGGUGCAGGAAAUAACUCAGAAAUAAGAUGUUCAGCUCGUUCACAGUUUCAGAAAAUAGACAUGUUUUUCAGGUAUAACAGUAAAAACUCAAAUCUUUUACCGAAAAUACCAAAAUAUGAGUAAGUUUAUAAAAUUGUGAUUUUCCUUCCAAAACUUUUCAACAGGUAAAUGUUUCAAUAUCAAAUGGCAUGAGGAAAAGUAUAUCUCUAUGCCUGCAUGUCAAUGUGUAUGAGAAGUCAUGAAUGAAAUGAUACCGUGCAACAUGAGGAAAAAUGCGUCUCUAUGCUUGUAUGUCAAGUGUGCAUGUCAAUGCAGUACAACAUAGUGAACAACCAUAUGCAUACUCUCAAAGUAUUAAUCCACUUAGUCCUCCCAAUCACUCGGCACUCUCACUCACACUCAAUAGGUACAUGCGCACACUGGGGGUGUGUGCAGACUCCGGAGGGGCUCCUUCAGCUCAGCGCUAUAAUCUGCACGGACAACUCAUGUGCUACACGGACAACUCACGUGCUAUAGUAUCAAUAUCUGGAUCCGCACGGACAACUCACGUGCCAUAGUAUAAAUAUCUGGAUCUGCACGAACAACUCAUGUGCUGCACGGACAACUCACAUGCCAUAGUGUCAAUAACUUCACAAUCAGGCCCUCGGCCUCACUCAGUUAUCAAUCUCUCCAGUCUCUCGGGCCCACAAUGCCAUGAAACUAGCCCAACAAUGAUGAUAUGAUGUGUUAAUAUAUAGCAACAGAGACUGAGAUAUGAUAUGAAAUGAAUGAAUAUGACUGAGUAUAUAAUUAUAAUUUAAACAUAUAAUUCGACAUGAGAAAUGACCUUAGUGGGUCCACAAUAAUACCAGCAUUUGCCUAAGCAUAAUCUCUAACACGAGUCACAACUCAGUUUCUCUAACACAUAAAAAUACAUGAAAAAAUACAAGUUAAUUGACUAUACAGCUCUACGGAAUCAACUGAGUCUCAAUUCUACGGUGCACACCCACACGCCCGUCAUCUAGCAUGUGCGUCACCUCCAAACAAUUCACAUAAUACGUAUAAUCAAGGUUCAUAUCCUCAGCUCCAAGUUUAGAAGAGUUACUUACCUCGAACAAGCCGAGUCCAAUAUCGAGCAAGCUAAACAAUGCUCCAGAAAUUCCAUUCCGCGCUUAUCAACUUCCGAAUGGCUCGAAUCUAGUCACAAUUAAUUCGAUUCAGUCAACACAAAUUGUACGUGACAGCUUGGUAUCAGAGCGUUAGUUUCACUUAGGUCUCACGAGUCAUGAGCAAGUCUAGCAGAGUCUUGCGGAUCGGUACGGAGACGUCUGUACUUAUCUUCGAGAGGCUACAGGGCUGUUAGGAGUACUUCCCUUCUUGAUUUCCUCAUCGUGCGGUUUGAUUUCAUUGAGGCUUGUGCCUUUAUUUCCUUCCUACUCAAUCUUAUACGACGCGAAGCGCUGUUAUGAAUUGGGCAUCGAGGAGUUGUAGUGGUACUGCAGACGUGGUGCAUGAUGUUUUUCUCUGCGUGUUCGGGCAGGCUAUUGUCGUCUCCUUGCAGAAGGAUGUUCUUUUGAUCCAGCUCAGUAUCUGUAUUUUCUAUGAUUUCGAGACUGUGCACGGAUUACUAUGAUGUCUAUGAGUGGUUAUCGCAUAAUGUUGGUGUAAUUGGUAAUGUGUCGAGGCAGAGAAUGACUCGAAAGGAGGAUUUCUCAGUGCAUGAUUUAGAGGUUCAACAUUUAAUUCCAGCAAAGGAAAGGCAAUCAGACUAUGGAUAUUCAGGUUUUGGUCGAUGGAGUAACGAGACUUGGUAUUUUCGAGCGUGGUGGAAUUUUCAUUGUGAUGCGGUAUCAUCAUCCUUGUUUAAAUGCAUUAUGGUUCGUCGGUGUUAUGGUCUCCUUUGAGUUUGCCUUCGGGGCAGAGUGUUGCGAAAUGGAGCUUGAGGGGCGGUUAUCAGAGAUAGUGGUGUGCAGUGGUUCAGAAUCAAAUUAGUAUUUCUAAUGUUGAUGGCUCGAGAGAGAUGAUCUUCGAAGAGGCUUAGAGUCGGUAACAAUUUAUUGGUUCAGGUGCUACAGAGAUGGAUUUUGAUUUUGAUGCAACAUUUGGGCAGCAAAGUAUGAGGGAGGACAUGGCGGGAAGUGCUUCGCGGUAGUUGAAGUACCAGCAGGUCAAGUAUGAAAAGCAGAGAUUGAGAAUUUGCUUAAAGGAGAUGGUUUAACCGAAGUAAGAAUGGCAGAUUAGCAUAUGGAUUCUGUGGUAGGAUAGUCGCGUUCCUUGAGAAAGUGGAGAACGGUUUGGGAAUAGUGAUGGAAGGUGAUUUGGCCUACGGAUUUUAUUUGGAAUGGUGGUCAUUGUACGAAGAAAGAUUGAAUAUGGAAGAAAAGAGCUUUCUUGAAAUGAAAAGGGGUGUGAAGAUUUGAUUAUCGUUUUAGAUGCAAUAUGACUUGACUUCGUAAGGUAUUGUUUAACUUUCAGUUGAUGUCAAUAGGGAAGGAGCAGACUUAUACAGCUGGUGGGCGAGCAUGAGGUCAGGAGGAUUUAGUGAUUAUGUGGUAGUUGUACCCCGUGCAGCAUCGUUGGAAGAUGUCGGUAAGGAAUUCCACAUGUGGAUUAUCUCCUGUGAACAGGUUAGAUACUACUUGCUAGCCGGUAAGAGGCUGAAUAUGUGAUUGUGACUAAUGAUUCAGAAGGUUCAUGAAAAGUUUAACAAGAGAUUUUGAGAAAUUUGGCGAGUUAUCGGUGCAAGAUCAUGGUAAUUGAGAAGGAGAAAUCUUUGUGGGUUCUAGGUUUAUGUAAUUGUAGCUUAAAACUAAGUGGGGGAGCCCCACCGCCUACGAUUGGAUCGCGUGGUUGUCUGCUUGUGCAGUUUCUGAUUAUCGAUGCAUUGAUGGAUCAAUUAUGACUAAGAAAAAGAAAACAUCUGGGGUAAUUCAAGCAAAGAACUUGAUGAAUAUGUGCUAUAGUUCGCCUUAUCGAUUCAUGUGCAGGUUUUGGGAAGACUCAGAGUUUAUACUUCUUGCGGAUGUGAUUCAUCUGGUUGCUUCUUUGUGAGUGUUCAUGUGCUAACAGAGUGUUAGAGCUUGGUUAUAUUCAGAAUCAAGUCAGAGUGGGUGACUCUCAACAACGGACCUAGUGGGUUCAAGAAUUUAAAGUGCAGUGCCUAAAGGUUUCGGGUCCGUGGUGUGGUUAAGGAUCGAGUUUUCACAGUGGAUUACGAGCGGGGUUUGGAAUAUUCUAUGUUAUCAUCGGGUAUGCGGUGCAGUAUUGGGGGAAAGGAAGAAAUAGCUUCGGAUUCGCGGAUGGUCUUGCAGAAUGGGUGUACCAGUUGGAGAUGUUAUUGUGCACAUAAAGAGGGUAUGAGAUGGUUCAUGAGUAUUGAGACGAUGUGGUCUCGUGACACGGGUCACUCAGGACGAGUGCAGAUUGAGUUCGUUAUGUUGUAAAUAGAGCUAUUAUUUGUAAGAUAGGUCAAGAGUAAAUUGAAAGAAGUUGGGUCGGUUAGUAAUGGUUGAAUCAGCAUGAUUGUGGCAAAGAUCAGUUCCUUAAGCGUGUGAAGUUAUAAAUGUGGUUUGUGGUUGUACGCGCGGGCUUGACAACCACCACAACUUGAUUGAUUUGGGAGGUAUUUCAUUCAAAUGGCCUUGUGGUGUAAAUGGACUCCGGAGGACUCAUGGUGGUUCAGAUCAUGACUUGAGGUUUGUAUUUUCUGUGGUUUGGGAAUUCAGUUGCGUGUUGCAUUGGCUCUUCUGAAAUGAGCGGAGUGAAAGGUUUCUAGCCAAUGAAGUGUUUAUUCUGCUAGUAGUUCAGUGGUUAUGAUGGAUUCUUGUAUUCUCGCGUAGCGGCAUGAUAGGUGCAGUGAGCAGCAUGGGAAUUUGAAAGUUGAGGAUCAAGGUUGCGGUUCGGUGUCGACAAGAAUGUCACGAGUUCGGAUGAGCAAGGGUAAAUUCAGAUGUUCAGAGUAAGCUGGCAUUUUCUUUAGUGUCACCUGAGAACGGUGUCUUGUGUAAGAGGCUUUGUGUAUUGAAUUGCUUUACAGAUUAGUACGGUUGGUGGUAUGGAGGUGCAGGCUUUUCUACCUGGUACGGAAGUUCGUGUGAGAGUAUCCCAUGGGGAAAUCUAUAUAAGUGUGGCAUGUUAGUCACUUGAUUGUUAAAGAUUGAAAUCAAGCAUGGAGAUUAUCGUACCAUCGUUAAAUGUGAGAGUUCAUGCCUGGAAGGCGCUCUAUUCCUUUGGUUGUGAACUGUGGGAGUUGUUUCGGAUUGAGACGGUUUAAUUAUUCGCACAUGUGUUGAGGUCUCGUGUAGCUUGUGGUGUUAUAUGAGCAGGAUGACUCUUGAGAUGCAGGUCAUUUAUCGCGCCUUAGUUGUGCUUGGGUUUUGUGGCGUAUUGCGCUAUCUGUCUCCCUAGAGUUGUAUUUUUGCACUUAGCGUGCUUAUGGCCGAUAUUCGGUACUCCUUAGGUAGAAGCAUUAUGGCUUAAUGAGUAUGUCCUUGUUUAUUUUUAUGAGUGGAUCAGGUGGCACGCCGCCACGGGUACAUUAUUUGGAUCGGGUUGCACGCUGCAACGGUAUCAUGAUUGGAUCAGGUUGCACGCCGCAACCGUAUUAUGUUGAGUAUGGUUCCCUAUAUCUAUUCCUGCAUAUUUUGUUUCUCAUCCUUUGAGAAGGGUUCAUAACAUCUGUUCGACCAUUUUAUUCGUUACGUGGGUUGGGUAAUUCUUUUCCAAAAUUCGUUUCUCCUUAUGAGUCAUAUUCGAGUUGUAGCUUGCCGGCGCAUUGAUGGAGUCAUAUGGGAUCUGAGACAGUGUUUGAGAUGUCUUAUUACCUGAGCAGCUUGUACUGGGUGAGACGAGAUUAUUGGACCUGAAAUUUGUGCAAACAAAUUUAUACAAAGUACAUUAAAGGGAAAAUAUCGUCAUUCAGUUCAGAAUGAGGUAAUGGUUCUUGUCAGGAGGAGAGACUCCAUGAAUUAUUGAUUCGGCAGGUGGUUAUGAGUUUCUACACGUCUCUCUCGUCAUGGAAGUAUUGCGAGAGUUGGAACAGGAUUUAUAUACGUCAUGAGAUGUAUUGCGGGCAUUAGAUUUGUGAAGUUUCAGCUAUUGUGGUCGGAGGAUUUUAUUAUGGGCAUGUGAAUUAUGCGGGGCAUGGUGUGAAUUCAGAAAAAGGUGUACGAUCGUGUUUUGAUACGGUGUGUGGUGAUUGGUACGGAAUUCAUAUGUUAGAAUCAAGUCUUGUAGAGAAAUUUGGAGGUUGGAAUUUGGUUCUAGGGCCUAUUGACUAAAUAAAAGGGAGGACCUUCAGUCCGGCUCGAGCUAACGUGCCCAAUUGGGAUGUGGUGGCAUGGGUAGGUGCAUGAGGUGUUAAACAGUGAUUUUGGACAACUCCGUAGCAGUCCUUAGCACGUUCAAUGACGAACGUAUGUCUAACUGGGGGAGAAUGUUACGACCCGAUCGGUCGUUUUGAGCUCUAGCGUGUCAUUCGGAAGUUUAUGGCUUUGAGUAGCUUCACUUCAGGCAUAUUGACUUGUACGUGUGGCCGAAAUUGAAUUUCGGUAAAUUCAGGAUAGAUUUGGAAAGAAAAUUCUAAUUUCGGAAGCUUUAAGUUGGAAGAAUUGGCUAAGAUUUGACUUUUGAGUAAACGACCUCGGAAUCAGGAUUUGAAGGUUCCAAUAGGUUCGUAUGAUGAUUUCAGACUUGGGCGUAUGUUUGGAUUGAGUAUCGGAUCACCCGAGAGCAUUUCGACGCUUAUUAUGGAAGGUUGGCAUUUUGAAGGAUUAAGAAUUUCCUAAGUUUAAUUUGAAGUAGGCUUUGGUGUUAUCGAUGUCCGUUUGGGAUUCCGAGCUUUGGAAUGGGUUCGUAUUGUGAUUCAUGACUUGUACGCAAAGUUUGGCGUGCAACCCGAUCCAAAUAUAUAUAUCAAUAUUAAUACUGUUACGGCAUGCAAUCCGAUCCAUAUAUGUAAAUAUAAAUACUGUUGUGGUGUACAACCGGAUCCAUAUAUCAAUAUAUAUACCAUUACAGCAUGCAACCCAGUCCAAAUAUAUCAGUUUAUAUGAAAUUAUUCAACAACAACCAAGCAUGGAAAAGUGCACAAGAUAACACCCAGAAAACGAACACGCGGAAUUCAACUAGGAAUUAUAAACUCAAAUAAAGUAUAUAAGAUGGGCAACUCAGUACCCAAGAGUUAGUCUCCCAUAUAUAGUGACAAGCUUCCACAAAGCAUAAGCACAUAACCAAUCUAAUAGUCACUCAAUCCCACUAAGCAUAAAAGAGUAGGACAUGAAAUGAGUAAAGGUAUAUGGCAAGUAAAAAUAGGUAUCAAGUAGAGGCAAUUAAUAAGUGAGAUCAUAUAACAAGUAGGGGCAUGUAGCAAGUAAAGACAUAUAGUAAGUGAAGACAUGUAGUAAGUGAAGGCAUGUGGAAAGUAAAGGCAUAUGACAUGUAAAGUCUGGUAAUAGGUAAAGGCAAGUAAAAGCACGUCGCAAGCAAAUGCAUGAAAUAGGUAAGUACAUGUAACAAUAAUAAAUCAAGUAGAAAGCGUUGAUGUAAUGGUAACAAAUAGAGGGAAAUAGAUCUAUAGUAAUAGACCAAAUAAGAAACAUAGAGGUAAACCAAGUAAAAAAUAUAGACAUGAAAGUAACACUCAAUAUGGAAAACAUAAAUAUAAACCAAGGUAGAGUACAUGUAUGCAUCUACCAAACAAGUAACCAUAACAUAAGGUCCAACUCCCAUCCUCUCCGCACGAAAAAUAACCACGUGCAUGUCACGACCCAAUUCUACCAUAGGUCGUGAUGGCGCCCAACGCUACCGUUAGGUAAGCCAACAGUUAAAUCAACAUGCCUAUAAAUAAUUCAAGACGCAUCUUAAAACAAAUAAUGAAAUAAAUAAGUGGAAUCAUUUCAUUUUCAUAGUAAAAUACUGAUAUUAUCUUAAAUAUUAGAAUCCAGAUAUCAUAACAGAAUACACCCAAAACAAGAAUCUAAAUUCCUAAAACCUGGUGUCACAAGAGCAUGAGCAUCUACUAGAAUUUACAAUACUACUACAACAACUAUCUGGAAUAGAAAAUAGACAAAGUACAGUAAAUGAAUAGGAAGGGGACUCCAUGUGCUGCGGAUCGUAGUAUAUAGAGCAGCACACCACCAAAUCUCCUCAGCAACUGCGCCUACGCGGCGGUAUGACUACCAAACGUACUUGUCUCAGCACCUGCAUAAUUAAUGCAGAGGUAUAGUAUGAGUACGUAAACUAACGCGUACCUAGUAAGUAUCUAGUCUAACCUCGAAGAAGUAGUGACGAAGAGUCGAUAUAGACACUUACUAAUGGUCCAAUAAUCAAAAUAUGAUAAAUGUAGACAGGUAUCAAGCAUAACAUAUAAAAGCAACAAAAAUAGAUAUACGUGCCUAACACGAUCCUCAACAGAAGAGUAGAUACAAAUAUUUAAAUACCGAAUAUUACCUCGAAUGGGACAUGUAUAUGAUCAUUUACAAAUAAAAUGUCAAACCUUAAGUCAGGAAGACUCAUAGGUACACUGACUCUCUAUCGAAUAUCACGCACGAUUCUUCCAAGGUCGUUCGGCCCGAUCCAUAAAAUAGUGUACGUUGCCGAGGUCGUAUGGCCCAAUCUUUGGAUGCAUCUCAUAAUACUGCCGAGGUCGUACGGCCUGAUCCAUAACAAUACUGUUGAGGUGUUCAGCCCGAUCCCGUAUGAAUAGUGAGACUUUGAUGGGUCACUGGCCCAACUCACGAAUAUAUGUGCGAGUUAUGAGAUUCAAGAAACUUUCGGACAAAUAUGCACAACGCAAGAGAAAUCUGUAACAAAAGGUAUAAUUUCUGUGACUACUCACGUAACAUGUCAAGUAUCUACAAUAGCAAAGUUCGAUAUUCUACGCAAGUCUAGUCACAAGCGAAAUACAACUUAAAGCAUCUAAACAGGGAAGAAUAACUAAAGUAAUACAAUUAAAAUAUGGUGUGAGUCUAAGUAUACCCGGAUAUAAUCAAAAAUCUAGUAUACGGACAGACACUCGUCACCUUACACGUGCGUAACUCCCAUAACAUGUAGCACGUAACAAAUAUAGCACUUACAGGGUAAAUUUUCUCUUUCAAGGUUAGGCAGAAGACUUACCUCACUCUGAAAUGUGUUAAUCGUCUCCAACGCCUCUCCAACAUCUCAAACCAAUGCUAAACGAUCCAAAACUAGCCAAAAAAGUGCAAACCAAUCAAAAUAUACUCAAAGACUCAUAAUUUAACAAUUAGAAAUAAAUUUCCAACUCCGCAUGAAAAGUCAACAAAGUCAAUCCUGGGGUCACGUGCCCGGAUUCCUAAAAUUAUCAAAAAUAAAUAUUAUCCAUAAUUUAUAUAGUCUAUAUCCAUAAAAUCAUCCAAUUUCGUCCAUGAAUGACCCUCAAAUCAAAGAUUUAUCAUUUCUCGAUUUUGGGGCUCAAAACCCCAAUUUCUACAAUCCAAACACGGAUAAAAAAUAAUAAUAAAUGGAAAUAAUCAUGGAAAAUAUCAAAAUAAAAGUUAGAUAUUUACCCCCUUGUUGAGACGAGAACAACACCGUGAAAAUCACCUCAAAAUACUAAAAUGCUCGGUUUGCCAAUUUAAAAUACUGCCCAGGUAAUUUUUGUUCAUCGCCUUCAUGGGAUACCAUCACGUUCACGAAGAGCAAUUUUUCACGUUUACCGGUCAAUCCAAAAUUCCUUCUUCGCAUUCGCGGGACUUCCCUCGCAUUCGCAGAAAAUAAAAGUUCGCACCAGAAACCAGCAAUCUUUCCUGAUACGAAAAUGGGCAUAACUCUCUCAUACGACCUCAGAAUUUGACGAUUCUUGUUACUAUGAUACCAUAAUUACGAUAUGGAUCUAUGGUUUAAUCGAAUCACAAAUCAAAGGUCUUUUGCUCAGUAUAGUACCCUUUACGCCAAAAGAAACGACGUCGAAACAUCAUAUAAGAGUGAGACACAAUCCAAACCCAUUCGAAAGUCAUCGGAAUCUAACCAAAAUUUGUGGACAAAUCUAAAAUCAUUAUACAAACUUGUUGAAACUUUUAAAUCAUGAAUCCGAGCUAGUUAAGUCUACUAUUUGACUGUGGUCAAUUCAUUUUCUUAAACUCAACUAGUACGCAACUUAAGUGUCCAAAUCACACUUAAACAUUCUGGAUCAUGAACAAAUGUCACACACAAGUCUCAAUCAACUAAAUGAACCUAUCCAAGGUCCCGGAACACCACCCAGAUUCCGAUAACAUUAAAGUCCACUCCAAGUCAACUUAACAAAUUUAAAAACCUUCAAAAUAUAAACUUCCGACAAUACGCGAUACUCAACCCGAACAUACGGCUAGUCCGAAAUCACCUUACGAACCUAUAAAAAUCUUCAAAUCUUGAUUCCGAUUUAGUUUACUCAAAAGUCAAACUUUGGUCAACUUUUAACUUAAAGCUUUCGAAUUGAGAAUUAUUCUUCCAAAUCAACUCUGAACUUUUCAAAAAUUAAAACCGACUACGCGUGCAAGUCAUAAUACAUAUAGUGAAUCUACUCAAGGUCUUAAACCGCCGAACGACAUGCUAGAGCUCGAAACGACCGGUCGGGUCGUUAUAGUGCCAAUCGUAUUUCAAGCCGCAUGGGAAUAACCAUCAUGUCAACAUCAUAUCAAUCGCACAAAAAUAUCCAUCGUGCCAAAUAUUGCCCUAAGGACCCAAUCAUAGUGUCUUAUUAUGGAUAAAUAAGUUCAAGUAACAUGAAAAUAAAAGGUACAGAUGUGUGUUCAUGAUAUAAGAACUUCUAUGGACAAGUUAAGUAUGUCAACAAUCUCAAAAAUAGCUCAUUGAAUUCCUUUAAGAUGUUAUAUGUUUUAAUAGGAUCUCUAGAAUGGAUAAAUUAACUCAUUUAGUUAUAGAAGUAAAAAAAAAAAGAAUAUGCCAAAAAGUCACAAAGUUCAACAAGACAAAAAGAAGCAUAUCAUUUACCCCGAACAUGGAUAACCCUUGCACAUACAUAAACGCUUGUCACCUCAUACAUCACCCCCGCAUAUAGCAAACAAUAUUAUCUAUUAGGAAAAGAUUUCUCAACAAAACUAGACAAGACGCUUACCUCAAACAAGCCAAAUCAAUACUCUAAAAAUGCUCGCACGACUCGAACUCCAAAUGGCUCGAAUCUAGCCAAAAAGAAAUCAAUAACAUCAAAUAAUGCCAUAGGAAUCAAACACAAAUGAUAAAGGUGGAAUCAACCCAAAAAAUCAACUCGGGCAAGCUUCCCGGAACUCGAAAAAACUCACAAAUCCCAAACACUUAUUCUAAUACGAGUCUAAAUAUACAAGUUUCAUCCAAAUCCGAUUCUGAAUCGGGGUUCAAAUCUCUAUUUUUUUAUCGUAGAAAAGUUUUGCCAAAACCCCCCAAAAUACAUUUUCUUAUCUUUCAAGCCAAACCCCUCUUUUCUUCUUAAGAUUCCUUGAUUUAGAGCCAAAAUCACUGAUAAGUUCAUGUUAUAAUCAUAAAUUCGAGUUAGGUAUACUUAUCCUAAUAAAGUAGAUGAAAACUCCUGAGCUUCAAAACUUUGUGAGAAUAAGUAACUAAAUCCCGAAAUAAGUAAAAAAAAUGCAGUAGUUGUCCCAGCCUGAAUCAGAUGCUAGAUGGUCCCGAAACUCUCAUUUGAUAAGCCCAACCAAAAUUUCUUGCGAGAUUACACCCAAGAUAGCCUUUUGAAUCACCCAAUUUGGCCUUAAAAUGAGGGAGAUAUGAUAUUUUAAAAUUUUAAAGGAAGUCUAAAAAUUUCAAGGACAUAACCGGUAUUUUCGGAAUUGUUGCACCAGAAAAUAAGCAAUCGCAAAAUCUUUGUUUUACCACCCAAAAUUCACUGGGAACCUCCCGGACACAAACCAUAUAUGCAACUCAAUCAUAAAACACGCUACGAACCUUCUCGCGUACUCAAAACACUGAAAAUAGAUCUUUUUGACCUGAUAUUGAUCGUGGUCAAACUCUAAAGUCUUAACUUAACUAGUCUCUCAAACAAUGAUCCAAAAUACAUCCGAGCCCGUCGGGACCCCAUCCAAUCAUACCAAUAAGUAAAAAUACAUUAUUCAAGCUUGUCCAAAAUCUCAAAACACCAACAGGAACAUCACAACAAAAAAUCGAGGCUCAAAUCGAAUAGAAUUUCUUUUAAGUUGUUAAAUCUUUAUUCUUUCAAAAGAGUGUCCAAAUCACACUUAAACACUUCGGAUUACUUUCAAACUUUGCACACAAAUUCAAUUCAAUUAUAUAGACCUAUCCAAAGUCUCAGAACACUAAUUGGAGUCCAAUAAUAUCAAAGUCAACUCUUGGUCAAAUUUAUGAACUCUUAUGUUCUUCAAAUUGCUAACUUUCGGCAAAAAAACCAAAUCAUCCUAGGAACUUUCGAAAUCAAAUUCGAACAUACGUACAACUCCAAAAUCAUCAUAUGAACCUAUCGGGACCAUCAAAACCUGAUUUUGAGGUCGUUUAUCCAAAAGUCAAAGCUUGGUCAACUCUUCCAACUUAAAGCUUCCAAAUUGAGAGUCAUUCUUUCAAUUCAAUCCCGAAGCACUCUAAAAUAAAAACCGACCAUACACACAAGUUAUAAUAUAUUAUAUGAAGAUACUCAAAGUCUCAAACUACCAAACGGAAUGGGAAUGCUCAAAACGAUCGGUAGGGUCAUUACGUUCUCCCCCACUUAAACAUACGUUCGUCCUCGAAUGUGCCAAAAAUCAUUCCAAUGUCAUGAAUUCACUGUUUACUCAUCGUACACAUACUCAUGGGUGAUUCCAUGUCACCACAAGCUAUAUGAGUCCAUUAGCACAAUUUCGACUGAAGAUUUGUUUUCUUCAACCUUAAUCCAUAAGCCUUAUAACCAAAUUCCAACAUUUGGAACUCCUUGUCAGAUCUGGUCCUUGUAUAUAUACAGUAUAUCAAUCUCAACAAGCUGCAUCAAGUCAUAAAUACACUAUCAAUAUCAAACCACACAAUGUACCACAUAAUACAUGUACUCAUAGCAAUAACUUCCGACUAUAAUAGCUGCUUAUUACCAAACCCGGCACCGGUAAUAUACCACAUAUCAAAUAAAGCCAUGUUACAAACCUUCGCAACACUGCUAAUGAUGAAAGAAGCAUACAGAAACUCAUAAUCACCCAUGAAAUUAAUAAGUUGUGGAGUUCUCUCGUCCGACAAGGACCAUUGCCAAAUUCUAAGCUGACUAAUUAUUCUUCCAAACAUAACUUAUUCCAAUCUGAUUGUGCAAUUUCUAGGUCCAAUAACCUCGUCUUACCUAGUACAAGUUGUUCAACUGGAAAGUCUCACUAAAGGCCACAUGGAACCUCAUACAACGCGGUUUGUACCCCAAGCAAGUAAUAACUCUAAUAUAACCAAUUUUGGAAAGAAACAAGAUAAGAGAACUAUCCAACAAGUGCAACUAAUAUAACAACAAAAGCAUAAUUCGAUGAACUCAUCCCACAAAGGGAAAACAAAACACAUGAAAUAAAACACAUAGAAGGGUAUCCCACAAAACUCUGUUGCGGCGCGCAACCUGAUCCCAAAUAUAUCAAUCCACAUAGGGAUACCCAUCGAGCCACAAUGCUCGUGCUUACUAAUCACAUGUGCAUCAACAUCAAGCACGAUAGAGUGGAUAAAUAUAACUGUGGGAAGAUGAAUAGGCAUAAUUCACUACGGAAAAGGUAAGCACGACUAAGGUGGAAUAAUAAAACCAACAUCACAAGAGUCAUCUCGCUUAUAUACUGCCACAUGGCCUAAACAGGUUCAGAACAUCCGUCUGAAUAAUAAAGUAGCCUCACAACCCAUCAUAGUGUAAGAGAGGAGCACAUAACACAGAUCAGGGCAUGAAUAACAUCCAUUCUGGCCGAUGAUACACUCAUGGUAAAAGUUGUGUAAGAGUAAGUAAACGCGAUCCGGUAUGGAAUACACAUCCUUAUUAGGCCAACUAAUAGGCCCCAAAUCAAUUUCGAUCAUCCCAAAAUAGGUAAAUAACCUUCCAAAAGUCCAUAUCACCCUAUACAUGACACAUACCAUCAGUCGUUUAACUCUUAACAUAUCUUCAUAGUCCACAACCAAGGAAUAGUCUACCCUUGAGAAAUCCAAUCUCUAAACCUCAUGAAUACAUGAAUCCCCAUAUCUGAUCCCGGAUCCACCUACUUAAAUUAAUGACACAUCACUCAUCAUCAUCUCACGAAAAAUACCAACAAAAAUCAUCCGUAUCGAGUUUCCAACCUGAACAUCAACAGUUAUCAACCAUGAAGAUACUGAAAUACUAGACAUGCAUAUGCAAAUGUCGUGACCUAAAAUCCCACCAUGAGGGUCGUGAUGGUACCUAGUACCUAAGACUAGAUAAUUCUAUCACAUCAUGAUGCCAAUCAAGAUUUAACAACUUUAGAAUUUAAUAAAAGCUGUAAAAUAUAAUAAUAAUAAAACUGCCAAACAUGAAUAAAAUGAGCAAUUUCCCAAAACCCGGUAAUAUUGAGUCAUAAGCUCUACAUAGAGUGUACAUAAAUCUCAAAAAUACAUCACUGUUUAUAAGAUAUAAAUAGUAGAAAAAGAAAUAGAAUAGGGACUCCGAGGCAUGCGACCGGAACACCAAGUAUACCUUGAAGUCUCCAACAGGUGGACUCCACUCUCUAUCAACCAACACGAUCUGAGGUACCUGGAUGUGCAUAAAAAGUGUGCAGAAGCGUAGUAUGAGUACACCAUAGUCGAUACCCAGUAAGUAUAAAGACUAACCUCGGUGAUGUAGUGACAGGGUUCAAGUCAAGACACUCACUAGUCAAAUAACAUGUGCAAAAUAUCAAAGACUAGCAACAGGAAGAAUAAUAGGAAGCAAUAACUAAAAUCUUAUCAGAACAAGUGAUAGUAAUUUAAUACAAAUAAGGCUCGAUUUCAACAAUAAGUUAUCCAAUAGAAUCGUACACAUAUGGCACCUCGUGCCCACAUUGUCAAUCACCCUCGCACAGCAAAGACCUUGUGCUACAACAUAAGUCACACUUGCACGGGAAAGACCUUGUGCCAAAAUAUAAGUCAUACUUGUACGACAAAGUCCUUGUGCCACAAUAUAAUCCGAUUAUGUAUUAUUUACCAAUUAACAUGUUCACGAGAACUUUUCAAAAAUCAAUAUAGCAAUGCAUGAUAACAAAUUUCUUUUUACUUUAAUCUGUUAUUCUACCAAAAAUAUCAUUAACAAAACACCUCUAAGCUAUCACAUAUCAUCCCCACAAUGCCACCCUUAUCUCACCGCGUGCGCAAUAAUAAAGUAAAUGUUUGCAUUGUCUCGCCACACACUUAUUAACAAAUCAUCUCACCUUGUCUCUCCACAUAUGCAAACCCGAUAUAUAGCCUGCCUUGUCACGCCACAUGUGCAAUAUCAAUAAUAACAAUAGCUGCCUAUUACCAAACCUGAUUCCUGUAAAUUACCGCAUAUCAAAUAAAACCUUGUUCCAAACCUUUACAACACUGAUAAUGAUGUAAGAAACAUGUGGAAAAUCAUAUCCACUCACUCAACCAACAAGUUGUGGACUCCUCUCACCCGACAAGAACCAAUGACAAGCUCUAAGCUAAUUAACGACAUUCUUAUCCAGACAUACCUUAUCCAAGUAUGAUCGCACUAACUCUAGGUCCAAUGAUAUCACCUCAUACAGUACACGCUAUUCGACCGACAAGCCACACCAAAUAUCACCUAGUCACACAUGUCGCAACCCAUACCCAACAAUCACAACUCAAAUAUAACUGAAGAUGGAAAGAGAAACACAUGAGAGAACUAUCCGACAAGUCCUAAAGGUACAACUUCCCAUCAGCACAAUAGUAGGAAUCCAUUCCACAAGGAAGAAGCAAAACACAUGAAAUGACCAUAAAAAAUCUCAUCCUAACAUAACCCCAUCACGGCACGUAGCUCGGUCCAAAAAAACUGAUCCACAUGAAAACACGAGGAUCCCAUCCUCAACUCGGUAUCACAAGUAGGAUAGACAUCCCAUCAACUAAAAACCUUUCAUUAACUCAAUCUCGUAGAACAAAAAUCACAACACACCACGGACCCCCUAUGCCUGUAAAGCACCACUCAUGGCCGAACCAUCCAAAAUCACAUCAAAACCUACCAUAUUAAGUAGCAAAAGGCCAACCCUAGUCUCAUAGCCCUUAAUAGUGACCAUACACGAACGAAUAACAUGAUCCAACACAAUAGAAUCCCUAAUGGGUGUAGACACAUAAACAUGGGUACUCAUGAAUCACGAGGCAUAUCCAAACAUGAAGCAGAAUAGAACGACAUAUACAAAUAAGUAGGGCCCCGAUCAAAUAAAAUUGAUGCAUCUUUAUGACAAACCGGAACAAUACAUGUAAUGACAUCAUAUGGUGCAGCGGCCUCAGUCCUACCAGGGAAAGCAUAACAACGGGCCUGGCCUCCCCCUCUAGGAUGCCCUCUACCCGCCUGUCCCCCUAUCUCUAGCUGGCUGUAUAGGUGUAGCAACAACUGGAGCAGAACCCAUAGCCUGAGUACUCUGCUAAGGUACACCCAUCUGGAGUUUGGGACAAUCUCUCACCAUGUUCCUGAUAUCCCUACAGUCAAAAUAACUUCUCUACUGACGUGGCUGUGGGAACUGUCCGAAACGAGUGCCCUGGGAUCCAUGGAUAACUGGAGCACCACGUGAAGCCUAAAGUGCCGACCGAACUGGCUGACCAACAAAACCUCUACCAUGACGUGCCCUGCCCCUAAAAUAGGGACUAGUAGAUCCUCCAGAUCCACGAGGCUUCUUAGACUCCCUAUCCUCCCUCUCUAGGCCACGGAUACACUCCAACCUCUUAGCGAUCUCCACAAUCUGAUGAAAUGAAGUAUCAGUCCCCAACUCCCAUGCCAUCCCAAAUUUGAGACCAUAACCGAUUCCCUCAAUAAAUCUAUGAACCCUCUCUCUUACAAUGGAAAUUGAAGCAGGUGCAUGACAAAAUAACUCAGCAAAACUCAUAGCAUACUCGGACACAUUCAUAGUCCCUUGGCGCAACUGCUCAAACUCGGUGUGCAACACAUCCCUGAAGGUCUGUCAAACGAACUCCCUAAAAAAGAGAUCACUCAACUAAGCCCAAGUAACUGGCGCUGCAUCAGUUGGCCUACUCUCCUCAUAAGCUUGCUACCAUCUAUAUGCCGCCCCUGUCAGCUAGAAAGUAGUAAGGUCUAAACCAUGUACAUCCUCAGAAGUUGCGCCAUUAAAAGUAGAAGUAAAAUACUUCUUGAACCUCUCUAACCUCGUCUGCUCCUCCUCUAACACCACUGGCCUGACCUCAAGUUGAACCGCAAUCAUGGGCUGCACCGAUCUAACACCCGGAGCAUCAUGAACAUGAGCCCGCUGAUCUGGAGUAUGUGUAGCGAGAGUAUUGACCCCUCCCCCAACUUUGAAGUAGCUGGUGUAACCGGGAUCAACCCCGCCUGAGCCAAGGUACCAAACAUGCUUAGAAAAUGCGCCAAAGUCUCCUGAAGUCUAGGGGUAGCAACAGGUGCCUCGGGUGCCUGAUUGCUCCUCAACCGGAGCUACUGGUGGCUCCUCGGUCGCGGCCCUAGCACGGCCCCUCGCAACAACACAUGCUCUGCCUCUGCCUCGGCCCCUGCCCCAGCCUCUAGCAAUACUGGACAUGGGGGCAGCAUCAUCACUAAUUAUAGCUCGUGUCCUCACAAUCUGUGAGAGAAUAGAAGAACAAAGGCUCAAACUCCAAAAUGAAUAAAUCUGCACGAUGAGAAAUGAAAGAAGUGGAAUUUCCUAACAGCUUCGUAGCCUCUCGAAGAUAAUUACAAACGUCUUCGUAUUGAUCCGUGAAACUCUACUAAACUUGCUUAUGACUUAUAGAAUCUAUGAAGCUAGAGUUCUGAUACCAACUUGUCACGACUCAAAAUCCCACCGUGAGGGUCGAGAUGGGACCUAGUACCUAAGCCUAGGUAAGCCUAUCAUAUCACGAUGCGAAUCAGAAUUUAAAUUGGUAUAUAAUAAAAUUUAAGUUAGAAUUUAAUAAAAGCUGUGAAAUAUAAUAAAAUUACCAAUCAUCAAUAAAAUGAACAAUUUCCUAAAACCCGAUAAUACUGAGUCAUAAGCUCAACAUAGAGUUUACAUGAAAUCUCAAAAAUACAUCAUUGUUUAGAAGACAUAAAUAGUAGAAAAAGAAAUAAAAUGGGGACUCCGAUGCCUGCGAGCAGAACAACAGGUAUACCUUAAAGUCUUAAACAGCUCGACUCCACUCUCUAUCAACCAGCGCGAUCUGAGGUACCUGGAUCUGCACAAAGAAUGUGCAGAAACGUAGUAUGAGUACACCACAGUCAGUACCCAGCAAGUAUAAAAACUAACCUCGGUAGAGUAGUGACGAGGUUCAAGUCAAGACAUUCACUAGUCAAAUAACCUGUGCAAAUAUCAAAGACUAGCAACAAGAAGAAUAACAGGAAGCAAUAACUAAAAUCUUAUCAGAACAAGUGAUAACAAUUUAAUACGGAUAAGGCUUGAUUUCAACAACAAGUCAUCCAAUAGAAUCAUACACAUAUGGCACCUCGUGCCCACAUUGUCAAUCACCCUCACAUGGCAAAGACCUCGUGCCACAACAUAAGUCACACUUGCACGGCAAAGACCUCGUGCCACAAUAUAAUUGAUUCCUUAUCAUUUGCCAAUUAACAUGUUCACGAGAACUUUUCAAUAAUCAAUAUAGUAAUGCACGAUAAAAUUUUUCUUUUUACUUCAAUCUGUUAUGCUACCAACAACUCGACAGAAUAUGAGAUGAUAACUCCAUGUAAGUAAAUCCAGCUUGGCAACCAAAUCAUCAAGUAAUAACAGAGGCACAAUUUAGCAUAUAGGAACAACGCAACGAAAUAUGUAAAAAUGCAUGAUACACAUAAAGAAUUCAUAAGCACAAACAAGAAUGUCCAUAUACAACACCACACAAACAUCAUCAACAAAACACCCGAGGCUAUCACAUAUCAUCCCCACAAUAUCAUCCUUAUCUCACCGCAUGUGUAACAAUAAAGUAAAUGCAUGCCUUGUCUCUCCACACGUGUAUUUACAAAUCAUCCAACCUUGUCUCGUCACAUGUGCAAACCCAAUAUAUAGCCCACCUUGUCACUCCACAUGUGCAAUAUCAAAAAAUAACAAUAACACGGCAGAAAUCUCAUCCAAACACCCGAACAAUCUGCCCGACAAGUCCACAUGUGCCACAAUUAUAACAAUAUAGCAUGCCAACAAUUGUCACCAAGACAUAAAUUCAUAAUCCGCCAAUGCAAAUUACAAGAACAAUUCAACAAGAAAAUGUGGAUGGGUGUUCAACAUAUAAGCAUGAAAGCCAACUCAAUCAGUAACAAUCUUACAAAUGCACAACUUAUCCAACUUAGGAAAUAAAAUCCUAAAACAUGAUGGAUUCAAGUAAUUAUCCAAAGCGAAAAACACGUAGUACAGGGACCUCUCAAUCAAAACAAGGCAAUAAAAGUAACCUUUGGUCAAAUUUGGUUAAAAGGCACACAUGCGUCCGUGUAUACACUUGUCACCUCGUAUACACGUCGUUUACAUAUAACAUAAAUAAACAAUUAAGUCAAAUCCUAAAGGGUAAUCCCCCCACACAAAGUUAGGCAAAAAGACUUACCUCGAAUUUCCCAAAUCAACACUCAUAAUAGGUGUUCCUUUAAAAUUCACCUCUGUUCGGCCCAAAUCUAGCCUAAAACGACUUAAUAGAAUCAACCAAUGCAAUAGAAUUCAAUUUCAACUAAUAAAGUUAAGAUCAUUACACAAUUCUAUCAACAAAAGUCAAUCCCGGGCUCGCCUAGUCAAACGGUAGAUCUUGACUAAUGCGACAUAAUGUAUGCAAAUGUGAACCAGGAAGGCAUCGCAAAAGAGGAAAGAAGAAUGCAAUUGCGGCCUACUCUAGCCCCAGUUUCCCAUUGCAAAUAUGAUCCAGGCAUCGCAAAUGCGAAGCCUGACAUCCCUGCCAACAUCCGCAAAUGCAACACUGGCUCCGCAAAUGCGAAGCCAGUCUACUUAGGCAACAAAUAGCAAAUGCAAUGCACACCUCGAAAAUGCGAGGUCCUCAAAUGUGAAUAUGAUCUCGCAUUUGCGAGACCUAAGCAUCAGCCAUGAACCAGCAAAUCUGAAACUCAACUCAAAUAAUCCGAAACUCGUCUAAAACUUUCCCGAGCCUCUGGGGCUCCACACCAAACAUCCAUACAAAUCUAGAAACAUUAUAAGAACUCGCUCGUGAUCUCAAGAUACCAAAAUAACAUCCGGAACCAUGAAUCGGACACCAAAACACAUAGAAUUCAAAAAUGAGACUCAAGAAUAGCUAAAAUCACAACCAAGCAUCUAAUUCCUACCAAACCAACUCGGAAUGACACCAAACUUUGCAUACAAGUCACAAAUGACAAAACGGACCUAUUCCAAGUAUCGAAACCAAAAUUCGAACCUAAUAGUCACAAAGUCAACCUAUGAUCAAACUUUGGAAAUUUCUAAACCUUCAAAUUGUCCAUUUUCGGCAAAAAGAGCCAAAUUAACCUAAGGACCUCCAAAUCCAACUACGGACAUACACCUAAGUCCAAAAUCACCAUAUGAACCUAUUGGAACCAUCAAAACAUCGUUCUAGGGUCAUCUUCACAAAAGUCAAUCCUCAGUCAAUAUUUUCAACUUUAGUUUCCAAACUAAGAACCAAGUAUUCUAAAUCAAUCCAAAACCUCACCGAAACGAAACCAACAAUCCCCGCAAGUCUUAAAACCACAAAUACAAAUACAAAUACGGGACACUUUAAAAGGGGAAACGAGUCUCAUAUACACAAAACGACUUGUCGGGUUGUUACAAUGAAUCAAUACACAAUGUGCCUUCCACAACACACACUCUUCUCAAGCGAUACAAGAUAGUGCUAAAAUUCUCUAAAAACAUCUGAAAUCUCCCAUGUUAUCUAAAUCUCGUAACCUUCCUUUAAAGGUUGAACCUCAACCUUGCCCAUACAAUCUCAAUCCCACAUGGCAUAUCACAUCUAUCAUGCUAACACAAGAAGGUGCGAGAAAAUCAAUUCUGAAUCACGAGUAGGAUAUACACUCGAUUAACCAAGAAUCUUCCAUUUAACUCAAUCCAGGAGAACAUCACAACACAGAACUACCCUUCUAUUCAUGUGGAAGAUAUCAACCCCUAGUUGUGGUCAAACCUUUAUGAACUCUUCGAAACCCACUAGAACCAUUCUUGAGUGUCACUCACUCUGACCAAGUCUCUAAUGCAUAGCCCAAAUGUGUUGAGCAACUAGCAUUUCGCUAGCACACGAAUACCCCAAAAGAAGCAACUGAGAAAUCCCCCUUCCUUGCGCACUACACCCAUAAUGAAUAUCAAACCUAAACCACUUUGCAACCCCCAUAUAUCCAUAAGGUGUAAUAUAUCAUGCAUCCAGUGAGUCCCUAGAAAAUAUCAUCCUCGAUGACACCCUUCUCAUAUUGCAUCCAAUCCACAGUGCAUCCAAGUCCAAGGCUAUAGCAACUCAUGCCCAAAUGACUCGAUCAUUGAUGGUAAGCUCCUCCACUUAGAGUGGAGCCACAAACACAUCAUCUAAUAACCCACAAUACUUCUUUUUUCUAUAUUGUCAUGACCUCGGGUCGUUAUCCAGCUGAGUACUUCAUAAGUUCAUGUAACAUUAGUCAAAAAACACUCCAAAGACUCUGCCAAGUGCAUACUCAUCCUCGUGACAGUUGUGCGAACAUCUUCAAGAUAUUCGAACUCUGAUCGUAACACAUACAUCUCACUAAGUGGAAAGAAAACUCUUCAUAGAAUCCCUCAUAAGAUUCACAUAACCUCAAACCUUCUUGCAAGAGAUAACUCACCUGCUUAGCCUCCAACCGACAUCUCUCUAUGACCUUAACAUGGUCACAACCACUAUGCAAUCAAUUAAUCUUCUCGAGUCUACACUCGUCAACAAGAUAUAAGAAUCCACUCCAUCCCACAAAUAAACAACUGAAAGAUCCACCAACACCUCCACAUCUCAAAAUUAUACAACACAUCAAGACAAUGUUCAAGCAUCGAUAGUCCUUCGUAUCCCAUCCAAAAAAUCACAAGUCGUCGGUGGACACUGAUAUUGAGUUCUUAACAUCUCAUACGGACGGAUGGGAAUGAAUUGAAGAUACAGGCUUCAGGCUGAAACAAGGUCGCAUGAUAAGGAGAGAAUGAAGUGAAGUUUCCUAGAUUCGAAGAUCGGUGUUGCGUCCUAUUUUGCACAGUUCAAAACUAAAUACAACUUGUGAUUUCCCUGAAGUUGAUAAAUAAGAGUCUCCACUAAAUAUUUAAAGGUAUACUAGCGUACCUAUAAAUCUAUAAAGAUCAUUAUCUUAAAGGUCUACUAAACCAGUGAGAAUCUAGAUAAGGGUUCUAGUUAUUUUAAGGGGGAGGUAUUAGGCAUCUCUCAAGAUCUAUCUAAGAUAGUUCCUUAAACUUAAGCUAGAUACGGGGAAGAAUUGCCUAUAUUCUAGUUGAUCAAUUAUUCAAGUUGCUAAGUAGGCCUCUAUGAAAGUCUUGAAUGAAUGAGGAAGCAUUUUAAUUCUUAUUUGAAAACUCAUUUCUUUUGUUUUGAGAAAAAGAUUUAUAUCCCCUUUAGAAAUAGUAAUACUCGUUUAAAAACCCAUGUGAUAUGUCUUGCAAAAUAAGGGAUUGUUUCAAAAUAAUGCAUAUAUGUUAACGUGAGUAUACAUCGAAACAGGUAUACCUUUUUUGUUUAUUUGAAGGUUGUUUUGGCAGAAAUCAAUAUAUUUUCCAAAGGUUGUUUGGUCUAGUUCUUGUAAAAUCGAAUCCGGCUGUGUAUUGCGCAAUUGCUUCUUUUAUUUUAAAAAUUCAGACGUCAAGCUGCCUAAUGUAACGACUCGGCCGGUCAUUUUGAGUAUUACAGCCUUGUUCCCCCAUUUACUGCUUAUCAUGUGUUCAAUUAUAAUUAUGUGACUCGUCGGAGAGGGUUCAGAAUGAAUUGGAACACUUAGUUCCAAGAUUUAAAACUUAAGUUGAAAUAGUUGAUCCGAUAUUGACUAUGUUUAAACGACUCCGGAAUAGAGUUUUGAUGAUUUCAAUAGUUUCGUAUGGUGAUUUUGGAUUUGGAAGCGUGUCCGAAUUUUUUUUUGAAAUUCCGUAGUUAAAUUAUGAUUGAAUUAGCUAAAAUAGAAAUUUAAGUUUUGAAGUUUAACCAGGGAAUUGACUUUUUGAUAUCGGGGUCGAAAUCCAAUUCGAAAAAUUGGACUACGUCCGUUAUGUUAUUUAUGACUUGUGUGCAAAUUUUGAAGUCAAUCGGACUUGAUUUGAUAGGUUCCGACAUCGAAUGUAGAAGUUGGAAUUUCUUGGUUUCAUUAGGCUUGAAUUGGGGUGCAAUUAGUGUUUUUAGCGUUAUUUGAUGUGAUUUGAAGCCUCGACUAAGUUCGUAUGAUGUUUUAGGACUUGUUGGUAUAUUUGGUUAGGGUCCCGAGGGUCUCGGGUGUGUUUCGGGUAUGUUUCGGGUGUUAUCGGAUCAUUUUGGGCUACUUUGAAUGCUGGUUUUCUAAUGUCUGGUGUUGUUCUUCGCGUUCGCGAGGAGCCUCUCGCGUUCGCGAAGAAGGAUUUUGCUACUGGGACUUUGUUCUUCGCGUUCGCGAAGAGACUCUCGCGUUCGCAAAGGAAUUCCUGUUGUAAAAAUUCUUAAACCUUCAAAAUGCCAACCUUUCAUAAUAAGCACCGAAAUGCACCAGGGUGAUCCGAUACUCAAUCCGAUCAUACGUCCAAGUCCGAAAUCAUUAUACAAACCUAUUGGAACCUUCAAAUCCUGAUUCCGAGGUCGUUUACUCAAAAGUCACUUCUUAGCCAAUUCUUCCAACUUAAAACUUACGAAAUUAGAAUUUUCUUUCCAAAUCCAUCCCGAAUUUCCCGAAAUUUAAUUCUGGCCACAGGUACAAGUCAAUACACCUGAAGUGAAGCUACUCAAAACCUCAAACCGCAGAACGGCGCGCUAGAGCUUAAAACGACCGGUCGGAUCGUUACACAAACAAUCAGGAAUAUUCUUUGAAGUUGUAUAUCUCACUUUUAAGGAUAUUAGUGAAGAUUAGAAUUGAUUUUGGAUGAAUUUUCAUAUUGAAACUCGAAGAUAUAUUAGAGUUGUAUGAAAUGUAUCAAAACUGUACUUAGUUGUAUCCGGUUGUAGUUAUAUUCUUUUAUGAAUAUCGUAUGAGAGUUAUAAAUAAGCCGUAUAUUGUAUGAUCGUUGUAUAAAAUUUGUAUUUAAGUUAUAAAUACUCUCUUUAUGGUAAUAGUUGCUGCUGUAACAAACUGUAUUAUUUUUACUUUGCUCAAUUCGUGGUCAAUCACUCCUGAAAUUGCUUGAAUUAAGAACCUUUCCUGCUUAAGUUCAUGUCAUGUUGGCAAAGAGUACGAGUACAUGAUCACGGGAGAAACAAUAGAUGGAAACGUCUUAAGAAAUUGAGAAAACUAUGGGUUCACUAUAGCUUAUAUACAAAUUUUAUAUAAUUAUUCAUACAAUAUAUAAUUUAUUUACAACCUUCAUAUAACAUUCAUACAAAAGCAAUAUAACUAUAAUAAAAUACAACUGAAAUACAAUUUUCAUACAACUUUAAUAUAAUUUUGAUACAUAUAUAUAACUUUACGUAAAAAAGAGUAUUUAUAGCUUAAAUACAUUUUUUCGUACAACGAUUCAUGCAACAUAUAACUUGUUUUCAACUUUCAUAAAAUAUUCAAAACAAAAAAAAAUAUAUAACUAAAACAGAAUACAAUUUAAAUACAAUUUACAUAUAACUAUAAUACAACUUUAACGUGUCUUCUUAUUCGAGUUACAAUAUGAAAAUCCAUCAAAAAUCAACUCUAAUAUACACCAAACACUCCCAAAACUGAUAUAUAAACCGAAUAUUCUCAAUCGUUUGCAACAACACCCAAUCUAAAAUAAUAAUACUUGUAAAAAAUCUAAAUUCAAAUUCAAAACUUCAAAACAUUUUGAUGGCUGUCAAUGGCCGGCAUAGUAGCUGUUGGUGGACGACUGGCCGAUGAGUUUUUCUUCCAGUGACGUUUCUAGGCCGAAUGUUCGGAGAACUGAGAUAAGAUAUUUACUGUUAAGGUGGACUCCCAAACCAAAUCGAUUGAAAUCAAAGAGUUUUGGAUGGUGGCCUGUAUGAGGCAUCGAUCCAAAUCGGCAUUAACAAGCAGGAGAGGUUCAUCCUCUUGGUGAAGAUCUUCGACUUCUUUGAUAGAUUCCUGGAAAUAUGUGGGGCAGAGAGUGUAGCGAUAGCGAUUAUAGGGUUGCUGGGAAGAAGCACUAAUCACGGUAGUAAAUAGGGCAUUAUUCAGCCGAAAUAUAUAGAAAUUGUAAAAAAAAACUCAGUUACCUUUGAUAAAUACAAAAUUUGGGUAAUCUAUCUAUCUAUAUAUCUAUCAUCAUAUCAUAUCAUAUUAUCUAUCUAUCUAUACUAUAUUAAAAGCACGAAGACCCUUAGCGAAAUGUCGUUCGCCUUUUUUAUCCUUUAAAAAAUAAACUUCAUACUAGACAAAAUAGUCAUUUAAUUAUUUUUCUAAAAUUUAGGACUUUGAAAUCAAUUAAAAUUCUACAUAUUAUAUCUUUCCUUAUUUGAAAUUAUAUGUAAUUAGUCCUAACUCACGCAUGUUAUGAGUCAAAAAAAGUUUUUUUUUUUUUGGAGAAGAAAACUUAAGUUUUAAAAGAUAGCAAUUUGCUUUGUUGACCAAUAAAAGAUAUCAUCAUUUAAUUAUUUGCUAAUUUUAAUAGAAAAUAUAUCCAACUUUAGACAAAAUCAAUUGUAAACAAAACGUCAUUAAGUUUUUCUCCAAUUAUUCCAACAAAUGACAACAUUCUACAUUUUUUCUAUAACUUUAACUAUUUAUUAUAAAAUAUUAAAUCAACAUUAGUCAUUUAUGGACUUUACAUUGUCAUUUAUCAAUUUUUUAUGAGCUAUAAGACAACAUCUUCAUUCCCGGAAGACUAACAGAAUUAAUUUGUCAAUUUAUUUUAUAUAACAAAUCUUAAUAAAAUUAUUUUUAUGUUAUUAGUUAUAUAUAUAUAUAUAUAUAUAUAUAUAUCAUAAAAUAACAAUAAUUUUCAUAAGAUAUUUCCAUAUAAGUACGCAUAAUUCACAAUAAGGUAUCCGAUUACUUUUAUGAUCAGGAUUUCUUUCGCUUGCUGGGAUCAUCAGUCGUCUUUUAUCAAACUUAGAGAAAACUCAAUUUUUUAAAAAUAAAAAUAUUCUAUUUAAAAAGGAAACUCUAACUUUUGUUAUGGGAAAUUUUAGUUGAUUACCAAACGAAAUUAGGAAUUUUUUUAUACCCUUUUUAUCUAUAUGUUUAAUUGUAAAAAUAUUAUGCUUUUACUUUGAACACAAUUCAAUUUCUUCUUAAAAAGUUCCAAAUUUAUUUUUAAUUUCAUAUAAGAAAAGUUAUAUUAAAAGUGGGAAGGUCUAUGUCAAAACUUGAAUUAUUAAACUACCCAUCAAAGACUAAUUAACCAUUUUGUUUUCAUCCAAAAGUGGAAUUACCUCCCAUUUAUUGUUAUGCAUCAUUAAACCCUUAAUUAA